GCUGCUUUAUUGACUGUACCGAUCCAAUAAUUAAUGUUGUUGGAUGAAAGUUAGGUAGAAUACUGGUGAUGAGCAUUAAUUCAAACCUUUUGAAAUUGUUUAUGAACUCUGUUGAUAGUCUUAAUGUUCAAAGGAGGAAACAAGAAGAGAUAGAAUUGAAUUCAAGAUUUAUCGAAAAUAUCUUCUUUAUUUUUACAAUAGAAAGAGAUGGAAUUCGAAAGAGACAAAUCGAAGUUAAGAAGCAUAAAGAAAGUUGCAAUAAUGGAGAAGAUGAAAUCAGUAGAAGAUAUUUUGAAUAUGUGGAUGGAAUCCCCAGUAGCCAUUAUCAUUUCAAUUGGGUUGAUUGUUAUUUUGUUGUCCUUAAUUUGUCGUUGCUGCUGUAGAGGGAAUUAUAGAAGAAAUGUGCAGAAGAUGAAAUCUCAACGCCGCAGGAAAUAUAAUUGAAGGCAUGUAAUGUAAUAUAUCUUUGACAACAAUCCCAAAUUUCUGUAAUUCUUCUCUUUUUGAAUUUGAAGUUUGGAGGGUAUCCCACACGGGCUUUUAUAUCAAAAAUAGAUGUUAUUAUACCUAUGAUCGAAAUAGAAAUUGAGUAUUUCCUAGUUAAUAAAUGCCGAAUUUCAUCUA
Solanum dulcamara is the source of this 624-nucleotide long non-coding RNA. RefSeq lists it as uncharacterized. The transcript is spliced from 2 exons. The record is from RefSeq and is a predicted model, not a curated record. Lineage: Eukaryota; Viridiplantae; Streptophyta; Magnoliopsida; Solanales; Solanaceae.